GUGCUCAAUUCUGAAACAUAUAUUCUAAAACUGGAAUGACACAGAUUAGAUUAAGCAUGGACCCUGUUCAACAAUGAAAUGUAAAUUCAUGAAGUGUUCCAUAUUUAA
Small nuclear RNA from Sorex fumeus (smoky shrew), 108 nucleotides. NCBI's taxonomy places the organism in Eukaryota, Metazoa, Chordata, Mammalia, Eulipotyphla, Soricidae. The record is from RefSeq and is a predicted model, not a curated record.